UCCCACAGGGGGUAAAUUGCCGCGGUACCCUGACCGUGCAAAAGGUAGCGAAAUAAUUUGCCUAUUAAUUGUUGGCCAGAUAUGAAUGGUGUGACGCUGGUGGCGCUGUCUCGUUGGCACUUAUUUGAAUUUGACCUCUGGGUGAAAAGGCCCAGAUAAAUCUGAAAGACGAUAAGACCCUAUCGAACUUUAAGUGGACCUGUUUCGGCGUCAGACCCGAAAACGAGCAAGCUUUUGGUUGGGAAAACCGGAGGUAAGAAAAACCACCUCCUCCCUUUGAGACACCCGUUAAUUAUGGGGUAAUAGAGACUUUACCCUAAGGGCAAUUGGCCUGAAGGACAGUAACCGAAUAGAGAACAAAAGGUCCGACAGGACAUAGUUAACUUAUCAAAUGAACCUAAAGACUUGCUGCUUAGCAGCAAGAAUCUAUUAACUAGGAAUAGUUACCGUUAGGGAAACAGCGUAAUCUUCCCGGCGAGACCACAUUAAU
RNAcentral lists this ribosomal RNA (490 nucleotides) under Nipponacmea teramachii. RNAcentral's name for it is "partial 16S ribosomal RNA". It matches the Rfam family "Bacterial large subunit ribosomal RNA", at positions 1912 to 2509 of the family's 2925-position model. The record is from RNAcentral. Lineage: Eukaryota; Metazoa; Mollusca; Gastropoda; Lottiidae.